GCAAUUGUCUGGUGAUUUUUAGUUUUUUGACCUACCUCACUUAACUAGAUAGAUCGAGAAAUAUUAAAUUACUAUUACUAUUAUUCAGUUUGAAAAAUGCCUUCCUCUAAGGUAAAAGGUUGCGAAGUCGAUUGGGGAAAAAUAAUGUGAAAAUGAAUUCUUUCCCAAAAGAAUCUGAACGACGGAAAGUGUGGAUUAAAAAUAUAGGGUUAAAACAAGAUCCAAACAAAUAUGCUGUUGUUUGUGAAGAACACUACUUCUGACAUGUGGAAAAAAGUUAGACAAGAUGGCAGCAGAAAAUUAAAAUGCAAUGGCUGUACCAACAAUACUUAGAGAACAAAGCGAAAGUAUUUAAUUAUUUAUAUUGGUUUUUUGUUUAUUCACUAAUUUAACACCUAUAGAUAUUUGUAUAACAAGAGAGUGAAGUGCACCUUUUCCUCCCAAGAAUAAAGUUUACUAUAGUAUUUUUACUACAAAAACGUUAUUACCUAGGUCAAAAUUUUUGAAGUAAGAGAACUGUCAAAACAUUAGAAUGUGACUUUUCAUUAUUGCUGUGUUUAUAAUAAACAUAGCAAUAAAGAAAAGUCACAUUCUAAUGUUUUGACAGUUUUCUUAUGUCAAAAAUUUUGACCUACGUAAUAACGUUUUUGUAGUAAAAAUACUAUAGUUUACUACAGUAAUCAUUCAAGGGAGGAAAAGGCACUUCUCCCAUGUUAUACAUUUUUCCACCUCCCUCAAAUAAGUCAUUUUUUCAUUUUUAAAAUAUUUAUAUAACUGUUGAUUGAAUACAUGAAUCAUAAUUGAAUACAGGAAUUUGUGUAUUCAAUCAACAAUAGAACUAACAAAAUUUAUUAGAGAACUAAAACUAACAAGUAGGUACAGUAUAACUAUCAAAUUAUUAAUGAAAAAUUUUUAAAUCAAAAUAAAAAUUUACUGUUUUUACCAUUUUGCAACAUCUAUAAAUAAAAUUUAAAAUGUAUGGAUACUUACCUAAUAGAAAAUAGAGUAAUAGUAUAGGGUGUCAAUAAGUUAUUUCAUCUAUGCUAUGACAUAGUAUAACGUCAACAUUACUUUUACUUUUACUCCCUAGGGAUUAAAAGUACUUCGUUUCCCUAGGGAGAAAAAAAUAUGACUAUGCUCCCUACAAUGAGGCCAGGAAAUGUAUACUUUGGAUAGAGGUAGGUGGGAAAAUCUGUUUUAUUCAGUUAUUGUGAUUUGUUUCUUACAGACAAUCGGUUUGUUCUAGCACGAGUUUCAAACGGUCUGAAAGCAUUAGCGAAUAGUGGACCAGCGCGAGUAGAGGGGAUAGCACUCGCAACUGUAUUAUGUUCUCUCACUGAACAACUGUUUGCUGACUAGUUCGACUGUUUGCUAGAACAAACCUAUUAUUCAAACAAAAUGUCCUCUACGUCAGACUGAUCAGAAUUUUAAAAAUGUGUCAUAUCAAUCAAAUCAAAAAAUUUCAAAAAUUGUUCCUGUAACCAUUUUUAGUGGAAAUAAUAACAGUACUUAUAUUGGAUCAGAGAGCCACCCAAUUCAUUGUUAAAGUAUGAUAAACUAAAAGUUAAACAAUUAGGCAUGCACUUCAUAUUAUAUUUAAUGAAAUAUAACCCACUGGUACUCAUACAAACUUGACGGCAAGCAAAUUCAACAAAUUUUUCCUCAUUUAUUAGUUUUUCACUACCGUUAAGUUUGGAAACAAGCGCUGUUGCCAAAUAAAAACAUAUACAGUCGGAAAAAUGAAAGAAUACCCAUGAACGAUCACAAUCACAUAUUUUGUAUUUGCUGCUGUUUUUUCAUAAAUAAUAAAUGAGAGAGAUAGAUUAUUAAUAAUCUGAAUAAUAUGUGAUUGCUGUGAUCGUUCAUGGGUAUUCUUUCAUUUUUUCGACGGUAUGUAUUUACCACAGCAACUACAGGUGACACUGUUUCUCUUUGUCUUUAAGAGUGUGAAACAAAGAUAACUACAGUGGGAAAAAUAAAGAAUACCCAUGAACGAUCACAUCGAUCACUUAUUUUGUGUUUCCUAUCUUUUUCUAUAACCAGUGCUGUUUUUGUAACAAUAUAAGGUUCCGGUACACAAUGGUUCCGGUACGCAAUGUUCCUGGGGGUCUGGGGAGUGUUCAUAGGGGGGUUCACCCCCGGGAAAACUUUUUAAAUUUAUCAUCAAUAAGGGCGUUUUAAAGCUAUUUGGGAGCAAGGGAAGAAUUCAGGAAUUUGUCUAUAAUUUUGUUGAUUUUUUAAAUUUUUUGUACCAAGAGGUGCCGGUACGGCGUACCGGCGCGUACCGUCACAAAAACAGCACUGUCUAUAACAAACGUUUAUUAUUUAUAGAAAAAGACAACAAACAUAAAUUAAGUGAUUGAUGUGAUCGUUCAUGGGUAUUCCUUCAUUUUUCCAACUGUAUCUGUAAUAUACGCUGAGCUCGUAGGUAGAGGGGAUAAUUAAAAAAUCACGAGAGCCAGUAGUGACAAGUCUGUAAACCUUUACUGGAAAUUUGACAUAAAUGUCAAAGUGAAUAAUUUAAAAUUGAAAUUAAAAACAUUAAUUAGAAAAAAUAUUAGUUGGUCAAAGCUGUGGUAUAUAUUUUUAUCUUAAGUAUACUUACGGUUUAAAUACUGAAUUAAGUUUUUUUACUUGUUUUUUAAACUGUAUACCAAUAUCUAUUAAAAGUCUUGAUUUUAACCAAUUUAAGAGACAAAUUAAAAAUUAUCUUCUGAUGGGUGCUUUCUACUCAUUUGAGGAGUACUUCAGAUCUAAAUUUUGUUUUGUCCUGUAAUUUAAUUAGUGUUUAGUUUUUAAAUUUUAGUAAUAGGUUUUUUUUUACUGAAGUACUGUCAACUUUUAAUGUAAUUUUAGACAGUUUUAAUUAUUGCUGACCUGUAAAAGUACAUUUGUACAUUAUUACCAAUAAAUACUCUACUCUACUCUACUUUAAUAUUUUGUAAUAUCUAAUUAUAAUUAGAUAUAAAUCAUCUAAGCGCCAUCUACACGAUAAUUGUGAAUGUAUCUGAAGUAAUAAAUUAAUAUUUCAUUAAGAGAACGUUAAAACAGUUAGCAAAAUUUUUAAAAAAUCGAUUACAAUUUAAUUACUUUUUGCGUUGUAAAUAUUAAGCGAUAAAAUUAAAUAAUAAAUUUAAAAAUUACUGGUGAAAGUUAAAUUAGUAAUCCACUAGGAGCGACACCAGCGAAGCUCAGAGCGUAUAAGUGGGUGCGUUUGGACAACCAUAGCGGCUGACUGUCAGCAGAAAUCGGCUGAGUGGUUGUAUCCAGCUGUGAUAGGGAAAGCUUAGUAAAUCUCUCAGCGGCUGACUUCCAGCGGUGACGUCUGACAGCUACUGCUGGCUCAGCUGUUCAGCCGCUGUGGUCAUCCGAAUGCACCCAGUGUCAGUCAUGUUUUCCUAUAGUAUAAAAGGCUUAGGUAGAAGGUUAUGUAAGAUUUUUGUUUGUUUAUUUUUUCUUCUUCUUUUGUGGCCUUUGGAAGCUGUGCCCAUUUGGCCAGCAACAUUUCUUAAAAUUAAUGCCUAACUAAACCUACCAUACAAGAAAACCAUUACGAACCUAAACGACCAAUCAAGGAUACAGAAGGGAAAGUAAAGUUAUCUAAAAAAUAAACUGUUGUUAAAAUAUAAACUAAAUAAAUAAAAUAUAAAUUGAAAACAAUAAUUUGACAUUAUAAAUGUAACCUCCAAUAUUAUGACAGACGUCAGUUACCAUGACAUCAUAUAUUAUACUCGUCACUAAUUCUAGCCAAUGAAAUGCUUGCUGUAAUAGGAAUGGCAUAUCAAAAAAAUCUGACUAUUCUCUAUAUAUUUUUUCAAAUUUAGAAUAUGGCAACAAGGAGAAAGUUAUGUGCAUUCCUCAUUGUUUGACUUUUCCUAUAUCUUUAGUAUCAGGUCACCGUACAAUACAAAUACUUCCUGCAAUGAUUGGAAGUAAUGCAGAACAAGAAUUGAAUUUGGAAUCGCUGAGAAAAAGGAUUGGUGUACAAAAUAAGAAAGUAUAUAAAGGACAACAAACAUCUUCCAUAAGCGAUCAAAAUUGUAUAACUGAAAUUCAGGAAAUAGAUUCUGCUCCACCUUUAG
Molecule: long non-coding RNA, 4082 nt
Filed under: Diabrotica virgifera virgifera (western corn rootworm)
Lineage: Eukaryota; Metazoa; Arthropoda; Insecta; Coleoptera; Chrysomelidae
Description: uncharacterized LOC126889835
Source: RNAcentral